UUUCUUCUUCCUGUCUUUUGUUGUUUCUCUCUCUUCCCCUUUUAUUCAAUGAAGUCUGGUUUAUAUGAUGUCCUCCCUACUACUAUUGGAAGGUUUGGCUCCUGAGGAUUUGAGACUUUUGCUCUGUGGGUGUCAGCAGGUUGAACUUGACGUACUCAAAAAGAUAACUUUCACCGACGAGAGUUGUCACAGCCUCGUGGUAGAAGGAGUUGAUCAGGUUCAAGAGAAGUGAUGAUCCCUCCUCCCCUCUACUAGGAGAUCAACCAGUACAUGUGAAGGUCUCUCUCUCUCUCCCUCUCCAUUCCCUCCAGUUAGGUGUAACACUCAACCAAAUCAUCAUAUUUUGUAUUGGAAUUUUUAUAAUGAAACGAAACUAGAAAUCCAAAACAUCACAAAUAAUGAUAAUAAUAUGUA
Long non-coding RNA from Amphimedon queenslandica, 414 nucleotides. RefSeq lists it as uncharacterized. The record is from RefSeq and is a predicted model, not a curated record. Lineage: Eukaryota; Metazoa; Porifera; Demospongiae; Haplosclerida; Niphatidae. The transcript is spliced from 2 exons.